CUCCUGAAUUGAUCAUGACCCAUUGUUUCCUCAGCAGGCGGAAGGCUCCACCUCCCAUUGUCCACCACUCAUCCCAGCUCCUCAGAGGCUCCUGCAAGACGGGAGUGGGAGGAACCUUGAGGUCAGAGCCUUGGACGGCUGCCCUGUGUGCUGGUGGCUUCUAUUGUGAGCACCCGAGGAUCUUGGAGCUUCCUCAUGGCUGGGCCUCAGAACCCACUGGGGACCAGCCUGUUUAUGGGAGCGGGGGGCCUCUGACAGCUGUGCAGAGCUCAGGUGGAGGCCUUGCGUGUGCUGACCGCUCCUCAGCUGUGUGGACGAGGCAGGCAAGCGUGAUCACAUUCGGGGUCCUCUGGCACUUCUCUGGAGGGUGCACCAUCAUUUCCCCUGUUCUCGGAAGAAGCAGUCGAGGUUCCAUGAGGGAAGGCAGAGAAUUGGAUCCCAUCUCCGCCCACUUGGCACCACCCUGAAGGGUCUGGAAGGAGAGAAAACUCUUGGAACUGCUCCCAAGUGAGUUUUGGGCUUCAUGCAUCAAACUCAGUAAAGACUAGAGGGAGGAUAAACAGAAUUUGAAAGCAGGGAAAACGGCCAGAGGUAGCCACAGCUGAUGUCAUGGGGGAGAAAGCAAAACCCCAAGAUGACAGAAUUGAGGUGCAAAGGAGUCUUCGGGCUCAAGGAGCUAAGAAUAGC
RNAcentral lists this long non-coding RNA (687 nucleotides) under Rhinopithecus bieti (black snub-nosed monkey). RNAcentral describes it as "lncRNA (ENSRBIG00000046102.1)". Lineage: Eukaryota; Metazoa; Chordata; Mammalia; Primates; Cercopithecidae. The record is from RNAcentral.